GGAAUCUUCCAUAAUGGACGAAAGUCUGAUGGAGCAACGCCGCGUGAGUGAAGAAGGGUUUCGGCUCGUAAAACUCUGUUGUUAAAGAAGAACAUAUCUGAGAGUAACUGUUCAGGUAUUGACGGUAUUUAACCAGAAAGCCACGGCUAACUACGUGCCAG
Molecule: ribosomal RNA, 161 nt
Filed under: uncultured bacterium
Lineage: Bacteria
Description: partial 16S ribosomal RNA
Rfam family: Bacterial small subunit ribosomal RNA
Source: RNAcentral